Gossypium raimondii (Peruvian cotton) is the source of this 144-nucleotide non-coding RNA. NCBI's taxonomy places the organism in Eukaryota, Viridiplantae, Streptophyta, Magnoliopsida, Malvales, Malvaceae. The record is from Rfam.
UGUUAAAAGUUUCAUCCAUUUCUGUUGUUAAAACCGGCGUGGCUAAUGAAAUAAUCAAACAAUUACAUAUGGCGUGUCACGUGUACCUUAUGCUGAUGUACAAUGAUCAGUUUUUAAUAGUAAAAUUUGAGGGAAUUUUUAACA